ACUUUCUCCAUUGAUAGAAGGGCCUCAAGUCUUAACUUAGAUUAACCAGACAACAAGGUCAUGUGAGCACCAAUAAAAUCUCUGGUCUUUAUUCAUCUCUCAUCGUCUCCGUAACAUGUUUUAGAGUUGAAGUGAAAUGUUUACUGUAUGUUUCCUUUUGUGCAAUCACUCUUACUAUUUUGUAUCUUGUUUUAUUUAGUUGGAAGUAAGCUGGGGAAAAACCAAGCAACACCAACACAAAGCAGUUAAGGCAACAACAACUGAAACAACAUCAAACCAACACAAAAACGAAAACAGCAACAGAAACCAGUACAAGAAACAUGAACUCAUGAAGAAACCAAAACACAAAACGAAAACCUUUAAAAAAAAAACGGUCCUAGCAAGUUGCAGCAG
This 393-nucleotide long non-coding RNA is filed under the name Capsella grandiflora. RNAcentral's name for it is "long non-coding RNA (CGRA_LNC000467)". The record is from RNAcentral. Lineage: Eukaryota; Viridiplantae; Streptophyta; Magnoliopsida; Brassicales; Brassicaceae.